This 84-nucleotide transfer RNA is filed under the name Mycobacteroides abscessus. Its description in RNAcentral is "tRNA-Tyr(gta)". It matches the Rfam family "tRNA". Rfam says of the family: Transfer RNA (tRNA) molecules are approximately 80 nucleotides in length. Their secondary structure includes four short double-helical elements and three loops (D, anti-codon, and T loops). The record is from RNAcentral. Lineage: Bacteria; Bacillati; Actinomycetota; Actinomycetes; Mycobacteriales; Mycobacteriaceae. RNAcentral also lists the same sequence under 3 other names.
GCCGGCACGGCGCAGAGGCGAGGCGCGGCGGACUGUAAAUCCGUUCUUUCGGGUGAGUGGGUUCAAUUCCUUCUGUCGGCACCA